RNAcentral lists this ribosomal RNA (253 nucleotides) under uncultured bacterium. Its description in RNAcentral is "partial 16S ribosomal RNA". It matches the Rfam family "Bacterial small subunit ribosomal RNA", at positions 524 to 776 of the family's 1533-position model. The record is from RNAcentral.
UACGGAGGGUGCAAGCGUUGUUCGGAAUGACUGGGCGUAAAGGACGCGUAGGCGGGUGUGUAAGUCGACUGUGAAAUCCCCAGGCUUAACCUGGGAACUGCAGUCGAAACUGCAUAUCUUGAAUGCUUGAGAGGUUAGUGGAAUUCCAGGUGUAGGAGUGAAAUCCGUAGAUAUCUGGAGGAACACCGGAGGCGAAAGCGGCUAACUGGCAAUGCAUUGACGCUGAGGCGUGAGAGCGCGGGGAGCAAACAGG